UUAAUUUUAAGUCUGACCUGCCCAGUGAUUGUUUUAACGGCCGCAGUACACUGACUGUGCAAAGGUAGCAUAAUCAUUUGUCUUUUAAUUGGAGGCUGGUAUGAAUGGUUUGACAAGGGAUUAACUUUCUUAAUUUAAAUUUUAUGAAUUUAAUUUUUUAGUUAAAAAGCUUAAAUUUUUUUGCAGGACGAGAAGACCCUAUAGAAUUUUAUUUAUAUAUUUUAUUAUGUUAAAUUGGUUUAUAAUUUGUGAUUAAUAUUAUUUUAUAAAUUUUGUUGGGGCGAUAGUGGAAAUUUCUUAACAUUCAUUUAUUUUUUAUCAUUUAUUUAUGUAUUUUUU
Molecule: ribosomal RNA, 339 nt
Filed under: Spartocera batatas
Lineage: Eukaryota; Metazoa; Arthropoda; Insecta; Hemiptera; Coreidae
Description: partial large subunit ribosomal RNA
Source: RNAcentral